This 498-nucleotide ribosomal RNA is filed under the name uncultured bacterium. Its description in RNAcentral is "partial 16S ribosomal RNA". It matches the Rfam family "Bacterial small subunit ribosomal RNA", at positions 29 to 507 of the family's 1533-position model. The record is from RNAcentral.
AGCGAACGCUGGCGGCGUGCCUAACACAUGCAAGUCGAACGUGAAAAGGGAAACCUGAGUAAAGUGGCGUACGGGUGAGUAACGCGUAGGUAAUCUACCCCAGAAUCUGGAAUAACCUGCCGAAAGGCGGGCUAAUACUGGAUAGAGCGAGGGAACUCGUAAGAGAGUUUUUCGGGAAAGGGAGCCCGCAAGGGCCUUCGUUCUGGGAUGAGCCUGCGUCUCAUUAGCUAGUUGGUAAGGUAACGGCUUACCAAGGCGAUGAUGAGUAGCUGGUCUGAGAGGAUGAUCAGCCACACUGGAACUGAAACACGGUCCAGACUCCUACGGGAGGUAGCAGUGGGGAAUCUUGCGCAAUGGACGAAAGUCUGACGCAGCCACGCCGCGUGAGUGAAGAAGGCCUUCGGGUUGUAAAGCUCUGUCGGAUGGGACGAACAUCUUCAUAGUGAAUAGCUAUGAGGACUGACGGUACCAUCAAAGGAAGCACCGGCUAACUCCGUG